This is a long non-coding RNA of Brienomyrus brachyistius, 1889 nucleotides long. RefSeq lists it as uncharacterized. The record is from RefSeq and is a predicted model, not a curated record. NCBI's taxonomy places the organism in Eukaryota, Metazoa, Chordata, Actinopteri, Osteoglossiformes, Mormyridae. The transcript has 2 exons.
UAUUUGUAGACUCAUCAUUUGUAGUUUGCCCUGCUUUCCAUUUCCACUAUGUCAAAACCAGUGCUUUUAUCAUCGUCAUUAUUAUGUUUCCGUUUAACGUCACUAGGGGGCAGCCUAGAACAAGUAAUGCUCCUGAAGUGGCCCCGCUAAUAUAGCAGGUUUGAAGAAGUGGUAAAAAUGGCGGGUUAGCAGAAUUUUAAAUGCGGGUCGUAAAUCAUGAUUUACAAUAGGCGCGUUACAAGUGGAGUAUUCCCGGGGGAGUACAGUGUCUUGUAUUUGAGUCAUUGUAGUUGUCAAGUUAUCAAAAUGAAUUAUGACUGAAGUUGCUUUAGAUUCGUCUACUUAUACGCUUUGUAAAUGGGCUAAGAAUGGCUUUCUGAAAAUAAUGGAACAAACUAUCUAAGAGCGAAAAUAUUUUCGUUGCAACUUUUUAUUGUCUAUAGGCUGUUUUAACCGUCAUAGUCAUACUUUGCUGUGGGUAAACUUUGCGUAAACGUACUGUAGUCCAUGUGUAAAGUGUUCGUCCAUUCGGUCAACCGUCUUCCAACCGUUUACUCUGGUCAAGAUCUCGGCUGCAACUUAAUGUUCAUUCUAAGGUCAUUUGUGCGAUUUUUUUCAACAGCUCAGUCGAAGACACCUGUUAAUAAAGUACAGGGGGUGGGUGGGGGGUAAGAAUAGACAAUUUAUCCAAGAUUUCAGUUUAAAAUAUCAGAUUUUAUAUGCUAGUUCAUCCCAUAAUCAGACGUAAUUCAAAGUGGGGAUGUGUAUAUUACUGCCUCAAACAUCUGAUUAGUUGUACGAUCCAGUAAAGGCCAUGACAGUGAUUUAUUAAACCUCUGUGAGAUGUGUUCAGCGUUAAUUUGUGAAUAUAUAAUAUUUUAUUUUAGACCCUAUUUUAUUUAUUAAUGGGCUGUUUUUAUUUCAGGUUUCAGAACGUUUUCUAUUUGAAGAAAAUGUUGGAUUUGUUCAUGUGAAGUCUGCAUGUUCACCUGGAUUUCCAAAACAUAUGGUUUGAUGAACUGGUGUCCCGGACUUUCCCAUACUGUGUCAGUGGAUGUGUAUCCUGCGAUGGACCGGCGUCCCAUGCCCACCUGGGAUAUUCUCCAAGCUCACUGUGACUCGACCCAGUUCUGGAUCAGUAAUUAUGGCAAACGGAAGGAUGGAUAUACACUGAGGUGUGGACUGUAAUUGAAAAAGAGUCACCAGCCGUCAGGGACUGUUUGUUUAUUUCUUAAUUGUAUAGCAGGAUUGUUUUAUCUAUCACCAGCCUUUUGCCUGAAAAAAUCAGGUUUUAACAUAGAGGAAUGAAGGUACUAUUUUGAAGUUGUACAGGCAUCUGGUCUGUGGCUCAUUCGGCAUCGUUCCUGCUAACCGAGAUGUUUCUCCUGACGAAGCCGUGGUCAGCAUUCUUCUUAUCUGGUCAUGCCACCAUGACAGCCUGGGCAGGAAGAGAAGUGGACACUGUGACUAUGGGGAAGCUGGAUCUAGAGACCAGGAGUUAUCUCAGUGUAACGGGUUCAUAUGGGACUGAGAUAGGGGUGACACUGGUCACUCAGUCAUUUCCUUGGAGCAGCUACUUUACGAUCCUUCACACUCCGUCAUGGUGUCAAGGAAAACUGUCUCUUGUGACAAUUCUGUUAUUAAUCAUAUGUUCUUCAAUAAUUUUUUAAACCAUGUUUAGAUUUUUUUUUAACAGUAUCUUGGAAUAUGGUCACUGCUUUUUGCUGACAAGCCCACCAUGUUAUUUAUAAAGCGCAACAGGAGACACGUACAUUAAGAUUAACUUUUGGUCCGGUAAAACACAAAGCUUUGGUAAGACGAAUAUUCUGUCCUCUAACGAUGAUUUUCUAAUAUGGCUGAUUAAAAACAUGGAGUCUGAGUUCUGGUCA